This 1102-nucleotide long non-coding RNA is filed under the name Chloebia gouldiae (Gouldian finch). RNAcentral's name for it is "Erythrura gouldiae (Gouldian finch) lncRNA (ENSEGOG00005015830.1)". Lineage: Eukaryota; Metazoa; Chordata; Aves; Passeriformes; Passeridae. The record is from RNAcentral.
AUGCUGGGAUCCAGUGUGGGAAAGCCCAGAUUUUGUGUGGGAAUGCCCAAAUUCCAUGUGGGAAUGUUGGGAUUCCACAUGGGAAUGUGGGAAUCCAACAUGGGAAUUCUGGGAUCCAAUGUGGGAAUGUUGGGAUCUGUGUGGAAACACCCCAAUUCCAUGUGGGAAUGCCCAAAUUUUGUGCUGGGAAUGCCGGGAUCUGCGUGGGAAUGCCCAAAUUCCAUGUGGGAAUGCCGGGAUCCAUGUGGGAACACCCAAAUUCCAUGUGGGAAUGCCGGGAUCCCGCGGGGCCGCCCAAAUUCCAUGUGGGAAUGCCGGGAUCCCGCGGGGCCGCCCGCGCGCUCCCACAUCCGGAUCUCCAUAAAAAACCUCGGCUCCGCCUCCUCCCGGCUCUUCCGUCACCCCGGGGGGGGUCGGGCAGCAACGGCGGGAACCGGGAAUGGGAACGGGAAUCGGGAUCCGGGAAUGGGAAUCGGGAUCUGGGAAUGGGAAUUGGGAUCCGGGAAUGGGAAUCGGGAUCUGGGAAUGGGAAUUGGGAUCUGGGAACGGGAAUAUAGAUUCAGGAACAGGAAUCAGGAUCCGGGAAUGGGAAUCAGGAACGGGAUCCAGGAAUGGGAAUCGGGAUCUGGGAACGGGAACUGGGAUCUGGGAAUGGGAGGUGGGGGCUGGGAACAGGAAUCGGGAUACGGGAACUGGGAUUCAGGAAUGGGAAUCGGGAUCCAGGAAUUGGGAAUCGAGAUCCGGGAGGUGGAGGCUGGGACCGGGAAUUGGGAUCUGGGACCGGGAAUUGGGAUCUGGGAACGGGAAUGGGAAUCGAGAUCCGUGAAUUGGGAACAGAGAUCUGGGAACGGGAAUCGGGAUCCGGGAAUGGGAAUUGGGAUCCGGGAAUGGAAAUCAGGAUCUGGGAAUGGGAAUCGAGAUCCGGGAAUCGGGAACAGAGAUACGGGAAUUGGGAUCCAGGAACGGGAAUUUGGAUCUGGGAAUUGGGAUCCGGGAAUUGGGAAUUAGGAUCCAGGAAUCGGGAUACGGGAAUUGGGAUCUGGGAACGGGAAUUUGGAUCUGGGAAUUGGGAUCCGGGAAUUGGGAUCCGGGAAUUGGGAAU